Long non-coding RNA from Oncorhynchus tshawytscha (Chinook salmon), 545 nucleotides. The record is from Ensembl. NCBI's taxonomy places the organism in Eukaryota, Metazoa, Chordata, Actinopteri, Salmoniformes, Salmonidae.
UUACGGUACAGAGUCAAUGUGGAGGCUAUAUACAGGGUAUUACGGUACAGAGUCAAUGUGGAGGCUAUAUACAGGGUAUUACGGUACAGAGUCAAUGUGGAGGCUAUAUACAGGGGGUACCGGUACAGAGUCAAUGUGGAGACUAUAUACAGGGUAUUACGGUACAGAGUCAAUGUGGAGGCUAUAUACAGGGGGUAUCAUUACAGAGUCAAUGUGGAGGCUAUAUACAGAGGGUACCGGUACAGAGUCAAUGUGGAGGCUGUAUACAGGGGGUACCGGUACAGAGUCAAUGUGGAGGCUAUAUAGAGGAUGUACCGGUACAGAGUCAAUGUGGAGGCUAUAUACAGUGGGUACUGGUACAGAGUCAAUGUGGAGGCUAUAUACAGUGGGUACUGGUACAGAGUCAAUGUGGAGGCUAUAUACAGGGUAUUACGGUACAGAGUCAAUGUGGAGGCUAUAUACAGGGUAUUACGGUACAGAGUCAAUGUGGAGACUAUAUACAGGGUAUUACGGUACAGAGUCAAUGUGGAGGCUAUAUACAGGGG